Molecule: ribosomal RNA, 460 nt
Filed under: uncultured bacterium
Lineage: Bacteria
Description: partial 16S ribosomal RNA
Rfam family: Bacterial small subunit ribosomal RNA
Source: RNAcentral
CCUACGGGAGGCAGCAGUGAGGAAUAUUGGUCAAUGGCCGGAAGGCUGAACCAGCCAUGCCGCGUGAAGGUCAGUGCCCUAUGGGCGUUAAACUUCUUUUGUGCGGGAGCAAUAAUGGUCACGUGUGGCCAGACGAGAGUACCGUACGAAUAAGCAUCGGCUAACUCCGUGCCAGCAGCCGCGGUAAUACGGGGGAUGCCAGCGUUAUCCGGAUUUAUUGGGUUUAAAGGGUGCGUAGGCUGUGAGGUAAGUCAGCGGUGAAAUGCCCCCGCUCAACGGGGUGAAGUGCCAUUGAGACUGCCUUGCUGGAAUGCGGAUGCCGUGGGAGGAAUGUGUGGUGUAGCGGUGAAAUGCAUAGAUAUCACACAGAACACCGAUUGCGAAGGCAGCUCACGAAUCCGCGAUUGACGCUGAUGCACGAAAGCGUGGGUAUCAAACAGGAUUAGAUACCCCUGUAGUC